Molecule: ribosomal RNA, 253 nt
Filed under: uncultured bacterium
Lineage: Bacteria
Description: partial 16S ribosomal RNA
Rfam family: Bacterial small subunit ribosomal RNA
Source: RNAcentral
UACGGAGGGUGCGAGCGUUAAUCGGAAUUACUGGGCGUAAAGGGUGCGUAGGUGGUUUGAUAAGUUAUCUGUGAAAGCCCUGGGCUCAACCUGGGAAGGCCAGAUAAGACUGUUAGACUAGAGUAUGGGAGAGGGUAGUGGAAUUUCCGGUGUAGCGGUGAAAUGCGUAGAGAUCGGAAGGAACACCAGUGGCGAAGGCGGCUACCUGGCCUAAUACUGACACUGAAGUACGAAAGCGUGGGGAGCAAACAGG